UGAGGAAUAUUGGUCAAUGGGCGCAAGCCUGAACCAGCCAUCCCGCGUGAAGGAAGAAUGCGCUACGCGUUGUAAACUUCUUUUCCAGGGGGAGAAUUUUCCUGUCGAGACAGGGAUUGACGGUACCCUGGGAAUAAGCAUCGGCUAACUCCGUGCCAGCAGCCGCGGUAAUACGGAGGAUGCGAGCGUUAUUCGGAUUUAUUGGGUUUAAAGGGUGCGUAGGCGGAUUGAUAAGUCAGUGGUGAAAUUCUGCAGCUUAACUGUAGACUUGCCGUUGAUACUGUUAGUCUUGAGUGUGGUCAAGGCAGGCGGAAUGUGUAAUGUAGCGGUGAAAUGCUUAGAUAUUACACAGAACACCGAUUGCGAAGGCAGCUUGCUGGGUCAUUACUGACGCUGAUGCACGAAAGCGUGGG
This 413-nucleotide ribosomal RNA is filed under the name uncultured bacterium. Its description in RNAcentral is "bacterial SSU rRNA". It matches the Rfam family "Bacterial small subunit ribosomal RNA", at positions 355 to 765 of the family's 1533-position model. The record is from RNAcentral.